RNAcentral lists this ribosomal RNA (486 nucleotides) under uncultured bacterium. RNAcentral describes it as "partial 16S ribosomal RNA". It matches the Rfam family "Bacterial small subunit ribosomal RNA", at positions 30 to 507 of the family's 1533-position model. The record is from RNAcentral.
AUUGAACGCUGGCGGCGUGCCUUACACAUGCAAGUCGAACGGCAGCACGGGUGCUUGCACCUGGUGGCGAGUGGCGAACGGGUGAGUAAUACAUCGGAACAUGUCCUGUAGUGGGGGAUAGCCCGGCGAAAGCCGGAUUAAUACCGCAUACGAUCUACGGAUGAAAGCGGGGGACCUUCGGGCCUCGCGCUAUAGGGUUGGCCGAUGGCUGAUUAGCUAGUUGGUGGGGUAAAGGCCUACCAAGGCGACGAUCAGUAGCUGGUCUGAGAGGACGACCAGCCACACUGGGACUGAGACACGGCCCAGACUCCUACGGGAGGCAGCAGUGGGGAAUUUUGGACAAUGGGCGAAAGCCUGAUCCAGCAAUGCCGCGUGUGUGAAGAAGGCCUUCGGGUUGUAAAGCACUUUUGUCCGGAAAGAAAUCCUUGGCCCUAAUACGGUCGGGGGAUGACGGUACCGGAAGAAUAAGCACCGGCUAACUACGUG